AUGUAUGGGUGGGUAUGGGCGCUGAUAACAGCUUUGUUUGAAUUCAGAUAUAUAAAUGGGAAGCGAUGGCGAUUUGGAUUUAGUUUUGCUUACAAUAUUGUGCAAACAUUGAAACGUUAAAAUGAAGUUUAUUUGUGUCCUAAUUGCCAUCGCAUUUAUUGCUGUUGCUGAUGCAGCCGCUCCCAAAAAUCAGAAUCUUUGUGACCGAAUUCAGUGCUACGAGGAGGACAACGUGAAGGUGUGUGGAACAAAUGGCAGUAUCUAUAAGGUGUUCGACAAUACUUGUGAAAUGAGAAAAUACAACUGCAACAGAGGCCAAAGAUUUGCUCGAGUUGAUACUGACGUUUGCAGGAUGGUUGCUGAACUUGGAAUGGGAUUCCUUUUUCACAUGGAAUAAAGUUUUGAAACGAAAAUAAAUUCAAUUUGUGUGAAA
Molecule: long non-coding RNA, 433 nt
Organism: Bradysia coprophila
Lineage: Eukaryota; Metazoa; Arthropoda; Insecta; Diptera; Sciaridae
Source: RefSeq, a predicted model, not a curated record